Molecule: small RNA, 274 nt
Filed under: Pan troglodytes (chimpanzee)
Lineage: Eukaryota; Metazoa; Chordata; Mammalia; Primates; Hominidae
Description: processed transcript
Source: RNAcentral
CCAGACGUCGUGGUUGUUCGGUCCUAUGUCGCGCCGGGCCCUCCGGAGGCUGAGGGGGGAACAGCGCGGCCAGGAGCCCCUCGGGCCCGGCGCCCUGCAGUUCGAUCUCCGUGAUGACGAUGACGCGGAAGAAGAAGGGCCCAAGCGGGAGCUUGGUGUCCGGCGUCCCGGGGGCGCAGGGAAGGAGGGCGUCCGAGUCAACAACCGCUUCGAGCUGAGAAGAGGUUUCGCCUUGUUGCCCAGGCUGGUCUAGAACUUCUGCGCUCAAACAAUC